Small nucleolar RNA from Rattus rattus (black rat), 143 nucleotides. RefSeq annotates it as small nucleolar RNA SNORA48. The record is from RefSeq and is a predicted model, not a curated record. The transcript has a single exon. Lineage: Eukaryota; Metazoa; Chordata; Mammalia; Rodentia; Muridae.
CUCCUCAGCAGUGGAAAAAGAGAAACCCUGAUGGUGGUGGUGUCCUUAUAUCAGUCAGGGGCAGAGCAGAUGGUAGUCCUUUGUUUAUCCUAGCUUGAUGUCCCACUUAGUGGGCAAAGCUGCUUUAUGCCUUGGACUCAUAC